UCAGUACUCCCUCCGUCCCAAAAUUCUUGUCUUAGAUUUGUCUAAAUACGGAUGUAUCUAGUUACGUUUUAAUGCUAGAUACAUCCGUGUCUAGACAAAUCUAAGACAAGAAUUUUGGGACGGAGGAAGUAUUUU
Triticum urartu is the source of this 135-nucleotide non-coding RNA. Lineage: Eukaryota; Viridiplantae; Streptophyta; Magnoliopsida; Poales; Poaceae. The record is from Rfam.